Molecule: ribosomal RNA, 373 nt
Filed under: uncultured Stenotrophomonas sp.
Lineage: Bacteria; Pseudomonadati; Pseudomonadota; Gammaproteobacteria; Lysobacterales; Lysobacteraceae
Description: bacterial SSU rRNA
Rfam family: Bacterial small subunit ribosomal RNA
Source: RNAcentral
AGAGCAUGAUUGGGCUUAAAGUGUGCGUAGGUGGUCGUUUAAGUCCGUUGUGAAAGCCCUGGGCUCAACCUGGGAACUGCAGUGGAUACUGGGCGACUAGAGUGUGGUAGAGGGUAGCGGAAUUCCUGGUGUAGCAGUGAAAUGCGUAGAGAUCAGGAGGAACAUCCAUGGCGAAGGCAGCUACCUGGACCAACACUGACACUGAGGCACGAAAGCGUGGGGAGCAAACAGGAUUAGAUACCCUGGUAGUCCACGCCCUAAACGAUGCGAACUGGAUGUUGGGUGCAAUUUGGCACGCAGUAUCGAAGCUAACGCGUUAAGUUCGCCGCCUGGGGAGUACGGUCGCAAGACUGAAACUUAAAAAAUUAGACGG